CCUUGUCUUAAUAUUGCCUUGUUCAGGAUGUUUGGACUGACUAGCUGGUAGAAUGUGGGCAUCAAUCUUGUCUGGUUGGCUUCUUCUUUCAUUCAGUCAUGUUAGGGGCAGACAGCUUAUGUCGUCCAUACUGAAAUCUGGGAAAUAAGAAGUUGUCAUCCUUCAAAGAUUUUCUCUCAUGUUUUUAACUUUAUGUUGUAAUUAACAACAGACUGUUAUGUACAUUUUGUAUAAAUUAUUUUACAUAGUUAUUAUAAUUGUGUUAUUGUUGAAUGUUUUGUUGGUAACAUUUAUAAAGUUAGUGCUAGAUAUGUUUUAUUCACAGUGAUAUCAUUUGCCUUGAGUGUUGGUGUGACUGAUUAUUGCUGAAUGCAGUGUUGUGUGUAUCAGUGCAGUCCAUGGGCUUGGCAGCUUGGAAACCGUUCUUCUUCCGUGUAGAUAUAACCUGCACACUAGUACAUAUGUCAGACCUGCCAAGGAUGUUCUACUCAAUACACUCUGCCAUGUUUGUUGCAAGACAGCAAGUCUGUGUUUUAACAUACAUAGGAAAUGUUUUGUUGUACACGACUCUUGUACAAUACAGCAAUAUGUACUUAUGUUCACCAAGCAGUAAAUGAGAAUCUGGUAGGUGGCUGUCUGAGAGUUUGAGUCUGUGCCAUGUCAAGGUUGUAAGUUUGUCGUGGAGAUGAGAAGUUUAACGAGGCACUUUGUGUUAUGACAAUGAACAAACUCAGCAGCUUUGACCUCAACUGAAGUUGCAGCCGAUCAAAUCAUUUAUCAUUUGCAUGUGACAGAGGCCAUUUGGUUCCAAACACUAAUAACAUGUUAAAGCAACUUUGAAUAUAUUGAUGUACUACUGUUAUGUCACUAAUUUGCAGCAGUCUAAAGGUUAAUAAACUGAUUGGCUGGUUAUGCUGAGGGUUUAGGUACUGAUGGGCUAGUUAUACUGGGGGUUUAGGUACUGAUGGGCUAGUUAUGCUGAGGGUUUAGGUACUGAUGGGCUAGUUAUGCUGGGGGUUUAGGUACUGAUGGGCUAGUUAUGCUGAAGGAUUAGGUACUGAUGGGCUAGUUAUGCUGAGGGUUUAGGUACUGAUGGGCUAGUUAUGCUGAGGGUUUAGGUACUGAUGGGCUAGUUAUGCUGAAGAAUUAGGUACUGAUGGGCUAGUUAUGCUGAAGGAUUAGGUACUGAUGGGCUAGUUUUGCUGAAGAAUUAGGUACUGAUGGGCUAGUUAUGCUGAAGAAUUAGGUACUGAUGGGCUAGUUAUGCUGGGGGUUUAGGUACUGAUGGGCUAGUUUACAGCAUGUUGGGCAAAAGUAAAUGCAGCAAGCUGAAGCAAGACUAGUCCUGCUGAUAUGUGAACAUAUACCAAACUGUUACAAGUGUGGAAAGAAAAUCAGUGUCAAUCUCUUAACUCACCUCACUUAUGUAUUAGGUAAGCCUCUACACAUAGGUCAUCAGUGGAGAGAAUCUUGCAACAAGUGCUGUGAUUGGAGCAUUGUUAGUCAAAGACUAUCAGGAAGUCAAUGAAUAUAUUCCUCUCAUUGUAGAUAAGUUGCAUCCUGUUGUCAAGUAGACAGGGAUUUGAUAUAUUUUGAUUAAUGACAAAUGCUGUACAUGCCAGGAUACUCCACUGGUAUCACUGCAUCACCUCAAAACGUCAGGUGAGAAUGCUGGACUGUUGUAUAAUGCAGUCAAGCAUGUUUACUGGUUCUGGUAACACGAAGAGGACAGGUUAUAAUAUACGUUGUACUAUUGUGAUAAGGGGUAUUCAGGGUUUAUUUCAUCCUGUUCACCAGGCAUGCAUGGUAAUUGGUUCAUGGUCACGUGAACCAAUCUGAGAUUGCCCAUUCUUACAUGGGGAAGGAAAAUGACCUUUGUCUACCUCACGACACUGUUGAUAGUAGGUCAACCUUCAAAUGUUGACAACUGUCUCCUUAGUUGCUCCUCUGGAUCAAGUUUGGUGUUAGCCUGGAGGUUCAAGUGUUGGGCUAGGAAGACACUGGUUUGUAAGACACAUAGGUACAAUAUCGGCAGCACAGUGGUUGAAGUGUUUGCUUUUCACUCAGAACACCUGAGUUCGAUUCCCCCAUACGAUGAGCCCAUUCUUAAUGUCUCAAUCAUAUAUGUGCAAUAUCGCUAAAAGCUUACUUUCUCCUCACAGUAAUAAACAAAAGUGGUAGGAUAUAUCUCAUUAAAACCUUAAUUGCUACAUUCAAGGUCUUUUGUCAAGUUACCACAAUUUUGAUAAACAUUUUUACAAUGAAAUGACAGGUAAGUAAUGGUACAGAAGGAAUAGUUUUGUCCAUUUCGACGAAUUAAUCCACCAAUACACUACUACUCCAUCUAUACAUUGUUCAUCUAUUCAGUGACACAUUCUUGUAUUCUUU
Haliotis rubra (blacklip abalone) is the source of this 2388-nucleotide long non-coding RNA. RefSeq lists it as uncharacterized. NCBI's taxonomy places the organism in Eukaryota, Metazoa, Mollusca, Gastropoda, Lepetellida, Haliotidae. The transcript has 3 exons. The record is from RefSeq and is a predicted model, not a curated record.